UACGAAGGGUGCAAACGUUGCUCGGAAUUAUUGGGCGUAAAGAGCCCGUAGGCGGUUUGUUGCGUCGGCUGUGAAAUCCCGAGGCUCAACCUCGGGUCUGCAGUCGAUACGAGCAAACUAGAGUGUUGCAGGGGAGACUGGAAUUCCUGGUGUAGCGGUGAAAUGCGCAGAUAUCAGGAGGAACACCGGUGGCGAAGGCGGGUCUCUGGGCAACAACUGACGCUGAGGAGCGAAAGCGUGGGGAGCGAACAGG
RNAcentral lists this ribosomal RNA (253 nucleotides) under uncultured bacterium. RNAcentral describes it as "partial 16S ribosomal RNA". It matches the Rfam family "Bacterial small subunit ribosomal RNA", at positions 524 to 776 of the family's 1533-position model. The record is from RNAcentral.